CCUGUUGAUUUCACUGAAUCACCAACUCCUGGGACUCUAGCAUGUCCUGCCAUUGUACCCUGUUUGCACACCUCUGUGGACGGAGAGCUCACCUCCUCCAGGCUGCCCAUUCUGUGGUUGGAUGCACCAGGGACUGCCAGAAACAGCUUCUUUCUGAAGUUUUGCUCCUGUUGCCCAGGCUGGAGUACAAUGGUGCGAUCUUGGCUCACCACAACUUCCGCCUCCUGGGUUCAAGUGAUUCUCCUACAAAUGUAUCGCAAAGAACUCCCGCACCGUUCCCUGAAGGAGACAAAGUUUCUCCAGAGGCCAGCUCAUUCCAGAGAACUGAAGCUCUUUGAAAUUCAGCUUCUAUGAAGACUCUGCAAGCCCCAAAGUGUUUAACCAAGACCUUUACCUGGGAAAGAGAAUCCGGACUCAGCCCUCUGCAGGCUGUUGAAGCUCAAGCCACCACCAUGCCAACUUCCACAAUGAUUCCACCAACACAAGUCAAGCACUGCCACCACCAUGAGAAACACAAUCCAGCAACUGUAACAAAACCCACAACAGCCAACACAUCCCCCACAGCUGCAAAUACAACCCUAACCCUACAACCACAGCAGUGAUCACAACUCCAGUGAUUAUCACAACAAACCCAAUAACCACACCAACUCCAACAACCACAGCUACAGCUCCCAAAAUAACCACAGACCACAGCAACCUGACGCAAUUUUAACAACAGCCACAAUCAUAACCACAACAGCUCCAAUAACCACUGCAACAACCACAGUAGCAGGCAUUUGUUGAUCACCUCUUAUAAGCCAGGUCCUCCACCAAGUGCUUGUCAUAUAUUAUCUCACAUAGCCUUCCAGCUGCCCCAGGAAGUAGACAGAUAUACAUGCAUGCUUUAUUUAUUUUUAUUUUUAUUUUUAAAAGAUAGACUUCUAUUUUUCAGA
This is a long non-coding RNA of Homo sapiens (human), 932 nucleotides long. RefSeq lists it as uncharacterized. Lineage: Eukaryota; Metazoa; Chordata; Mammalia; Primates; Hominidae. The transcript is spliced from 3 exons. The record is from RefSeq and is a predicted model, not a curated record.